Molecule: ribosomal RNA, 809 nt
Filed under: uncultured Actinomyces sp.
Lineage: Bacteria; Bacillati; Actinomycetota; Actinomycetes; Actinomycetales; Actinomycetaceae
Description: bacterial SSU rRNA
Rfam family: Bacterial small subunit ribosomal RNA
Source: RNAcentral
GUAACACGUGAGUAACCUGCCCCCUUCUUUGGGAUAACGCCCGGAAACGGGUGCUAAUACUGGAUAUUCACUGGCCUUCGCAUGGGGGUUGGUGGAAAGGUUUUUUCUGGUGGGGGAUGGGCUCGCGGCCUAUCAGCUUGUUGGUGGGGUGAUGGCCUACCAAGGCUUUGACGGGUAGCCGGCCUGAGAGGGUGACCGGUCACAUUGGGACUGAGAUACGGCCCAGACUCCUACGGGAGGCAGCAGUGGGGAAUAUUGCACAAUGGGCGAAAGCCUGAUGCAGCGACGCCGCGUGAGGGAUGACGGCCUUCGGGUUGUAAACCUCUUUCGCUCAUGGUCAAGCCGCAACAGUGGUUGUGGUGAGGGUAGUGGGUAAAGAAGCGCCGGCUAACUACGCGCCAGCAGCCGCGGUAAUACGUAGGGCGCGAGCGUUGUCCGGAAUUAUUGGGCGUAAAGGGCUUGUAGGCGGUUGGUCGCGUCUGCCGUGAAAUCCUCUGGCUUAACUGGGGGCGUGCGGUGGGUACGGGCUGACUUGAGUGCGGUAGGGGAGACUGGAACUCCUGGUGUAGCGGUGGAAUGCGCAGAUAUCAGGAAGAACACCGGUGGCGAAGGCGGGUCUCUGGGCCGUUACUGACGCUGAGGAGCGAAAGCGUGGGGAGCGAACAGGAUUAGAUACCCUGGUAGUCCACGCUGUAAACGUUGGGCACUAGGUGUGGGGGCCACCCGUGGUUUCUGCGCCGUAGCUAACGCUUUAAGUGCCCCGCCUGGGGAGUACGGCCGCAAGGCUAAAACUCAAAGGAAUUGACGGA